GGAGUGAUGCUCGAGUGGCUGAAGAGGCACGCCUGGAAAGCGUGUAAACGGCAAAACCGUUUCCCGAGUUCGAAUCUCGGUCGCUCCGCCC
Molecule: transfer RNA, 91 nt
Filed under: Prevotella sp. CAG:279
Lineage: Bacteria; Pseudomonadati; Bacteroidota; Bacteroidia; Bacteroidales; Prevotellaceae
Description: transfer RNA-Ser(GGA)
Rfam family: tRNA
About the family: Transfer RNA (tRNA) molecules are approximately 80 nucleotides in length.
Source: RNAcentral